CUUCAGUGUUUCCAUGGAAACGAAGAAGACUCUGAUGGGGCCAGAGGCCAGUGGGAAGAGGAAAAGAGACUUGAGUGGCCGGUGGCCACACUCUUAGCUAUCACAUUCAUAUGUUAUAAUCGGGCACCAUUGGUCACACCCACUCUGCCGAUGGACAGCUGAGGUAACGGAAGUGCUAACUAAGGGAAUCGGGGCCAGUGGAGCAGCCUUGAGCACACGGUAGAGGCAGCAUCAGUGAGCUGAGAACCACCAUUGUCCUCCAUUUCUCCAGGACAGCGCCCCACACCUCUGCCUGCCAAGCCUAGUGCCUGAACCUUGCCCCCCUCCACACCCCCCCCCCCAGGCAUUGCUUGUUUUCCCUGCCUCAGUCACAGACAUUCCCAGCCACCCCAGCCUUUUCUGGUGGUUCAGGGUUUGGUAUCCCACCGCUUUCUUUGUCUUCUCCUUCUUGGGUACAUUUGGACCAGGUAGGUGGGUUGUGCUGCCCAUUGCCUGGGGUUCCUCACCUAGGCCUGCAGCCUCUGAGAAGUUGGGACGGGGUUGGAGGGUCUGGGGACCCUGCCCUUUCCCCGCCACACUGAACCAGGAUUGAGGGUGGAGCCUGUGCUUCUGAGCUCCCAGGUGUGGGGAUCCUGGGAGCGAGCGUUGGGGGCAGGCCAGCAUGGCCAGCGGUGUCCCUCAGUCUGUAGAGGGCAUGCUUAAGGUCUCUACAGACUCAGACCUAACCUGGAGGUGUAUGCAGUGCUGGGGUUCUCUUGUAUUGGAUGGUCCUUGAAUCCUUUCUGGGUUCUACACUGCAGGGCAGGGCCGGGCCUGAGGCCCUGGAGACUCUCUGUGUGAGGAUAUGGGCGUCACACUUCUUUUCCCAUGGGAGUCUCUCUGUGUCUCUUGCCAGUUGUUACAUUAAAAGAUCUGAUUGCUUUUCUAUCCUUCCUCCCCAUUUUCAUCCUCCAUUUAUCUAUCUAUCUAUCUAUCUAUCUAUCUAUCUAUCUAUCUAUCUAUCUAUCUAUCUAUUUAUUUUUGGUUUUUCGAGACAGGGUUUCUCUUUAUAUAGCCCUGGCUGUCCUGGAACUCACUUUGUAGACCAGGCUGGCCUUGAACUCAGAAAUCCACCUGCCUCUGCCUUUCCGAGUGCUGGGAUUAAAGGUGUGCGCCACCACCGCCCAGCUUCCUCCUCCUAUUUGAGAUAGUCUCUCACUGUCGAACUCUCCAUGUAGACUAGGCCUGCCUCUGCCUCCAGAGAGCUGGGAUCGAAGGUGUGUGCCACCACAUCUGGCCCGUUCUCUCUCUUGCUGUCUCUAGUUUCAAGGCCCCCCCCCUCCCUGUAUCAGACUCCUCCAGACCUCAGGCCCUUUGAUGGUGCCGGGCAAAAGCUACUCAGAUUCAUGUGUGAGCAUGUGUGAGACUGUCUAUGCAGAGCCUGAGUGGAGUCUGUGAGGGUGUCCCCAGGGUCCCCACUACGAUGGUACUCAGCCCUGUUAACCCUUCCACUCCCAGCACCCAGCAUGAAGGACUGGAACUAUGUCUUAUACUCACAGGUCCCUUAUACUCACACAGUCUGGGCACAUCUCAGCCUGCUCCACAGAACUCUGGUGACCAAAGGAACAGCUCCUUUAACGCUGUCCACACCCCUGUCUCAGGGACUGAACUGGCACCGUGAGUGGCCAAGGGACUCUCAUUUGCGAUCUAGAGGUGGGAAGGUGAUCCUGGAUGCUCUGGGUGACCUAUGUCAUCACAGGGUCCUUGUAAGCAGGAGGCCAGAGAUCAGAGAAGAGGCCACGCUGGCAGCCUUGGAGGUGGGAGAAGGCGCCCUGAACCAAGGGAUGAGAGCUGCUUCUAGAAGCAGACUCUCUUCUAGCACAGCACAGUGGUUCUCAGCCUUCCUAACACUGUGACCCUUCAAUCCAGUUCCUCACGGUGUGGUGACCCCCCAGCCAUAAAGUUAUUUCACUACUACUUCAUAACUGUAAUUUUGCUACUGUUAUGAAUUGUAACAUAACAGUAAACUCUGUAAACAUCUAUAUUUUCAGAUUGUCUUAGGUGACCCCUGUGAAAGGGUUAUCCGACCCCCAAAAGGGGUCAUGAUGAGUGUAGCCUGCCACCUUGCCACCUUCAGACUCUUUUGACCUCCACAACCCUAAGAUAACAAGUUCGUAUUCUUUUGUAAUGUCUUGGGUUUAUGAUAGUCGGUCUUGACAAUGGCAUGAGACUGAGACAUAGCUCUGGAAGGGAAGUCACAGUGGGUCUCCUUUUGCAGACAGAGACGUGGAGCACCCGACUGGAGGAGGCAGGCUGGCUGGCAGUCCACAGACUCUGGACUUCAGUGUUCUGUGUGUGUCCGGGUUAUCCUCACAGCUCUGGCUCAGAGCUCUGUGAUUGGCUGGGCUCUCCUGUCCUUCUUUACCGCCUUCCCCCCAACUUCCCAUCAUUCUUUACUGAGUGCCCGGGCUGGCAUGCUGAAAUACUGGGCGAGCCAGUGGUAUGUGUAACAGCUCUAUAGCUGUAUGCAAUGCCCCAUGUGUUUAUGACUACAGGUCAGGCCCAGUGCUAAGAAUGUCACCUUGCUUAUCCCAUCAGUCCAUAUGACACAAAUGUUCGUGGGCAGGGCUCUGCCACAACCACUUAUUACACAUGUGGUGCAGGAGGGGCAGACCACCAGCUUGCUGUCACAGAGGGAGGUAGGCAGAGCUAGGCUCAAACCCAGGCAGGUGUUCUGCAUUGAGCUUGGUGGUGCAUAUUUGCAAUUCCUGGGCUCUGGAGGAGGGGACGGGGACUACACAGUUGCUCUGCCCAGAGUGUGCUGAAUGACACGGUGACUUCCAGGCCAGCCUGGGCAUCUCCACCUGUUUCAAAUGUAAUUUUUUUUGAUUUAUUUACUUUGUUUGUGUAGAAGAUGGUGGCAUUGUAGUGCAUGUAUGGAGUUCAUCAGAGGAUAACAUGGUGUGGUUGGUUCUUGCUUUCUACCACGUGGGUCCCAGGAAUUAAAUACUCAGAUCUUUAGGCUUGGCAACAAGAACCCUUACUGAGUUCAUAGUGACCCCUGGGAAUUGGUUUCCUUCCUUCCUCCCUCCCUCCCUCCCUCCCUCCCUCCCUCCCUCCCUCCCUCCCUCCCUCCCUCCCUCCCUUCCUUCCUUCCUUCCUUCCUUCCUUCCCUCCCUCUCCCCUCCCUUCCUGCCUCCCUCCCUCCUUCCACCUUUCUUCUCCCACUCCCUCCCUUUCUCUCUCUUUCUGGAGACAAGUUCUAGUCACCCAGUCCAGGCUCAAACUUGCUCUGUAGCCAAGGAUAACCUUGGACUUCUGAUCGCCCCCCCUCCCCCCAACCUCCCCAGUGCUGGGAUUACAAAUGUGAGCCACCACACCCGGUUUAUAUGUGCUGCCCAGGGCUUUGUCUUGCUAGGCAAUGCUCUACCUGCUGAGCCACCCCCACCCCCACCCGGCACCCCGGAAUCAGUCUCCUCCUUCUCGGUUACCCCGUCACCCCCUCCCUUCAGUAAGUCAUACAUGUUUAUUGAGAGAAACAUCUAAGAGAGAAGAUGACAGGCUGUGGCUUAGCCUUUCAUGUGUGCUGUGUGCGGCCCCGCUGGGUGCACACUGCAGUGCGUGGCUUGGUUGUGGCAGAACGGUGGUUUUAUUGCACCUGCUGUCUCAUGGCUCGCUAAUUUUUUUUUUAACCUAAUUACACACAGUGCACAUUUUCCCGUGGGAACAUGUGUUCUUCAACAAUUCCCCAUGUGGUUCUCCUUUCACUAUCGGUAAGGGUUCGAUGCCUGUCUGGGUCUGACUGGUGAUGCCAGACCCUCCGGAUGCAAAGGAGCCCCUGAAGAAAGCCAGGAGCUGGGUUUGGGGUGGCACCUGUGUUUGCGGGGUCAGGCUAUGGGAGACGGAUUUCUGGUGUCCCUAACACUCGGUCCCUGUUGAGGACCCUUAUGGAGGUCAGUAGGAAGCACCCCCCGCUCCCCUGAUGUUCUGUGUGUGGUCCCUCAGCACAUCAUUUAUUGUGCAUGUGGACUUUUGUCCAGUUUGUGCCUUGGAGGCCAUCUCUAUGUGAGGAACCUUGAUUGGAGCAUGUUAGAGGGAAUGCUGUACCUGAAGAGGCAGAGGAAGGCCUGAGGUGGUGUGCCAUGGGCCAGAGCCUCGCAGGCAUUGCCGCCUACCUCUCUCUUUAUCAGAGGGAGGACUCAUGGCCCAUUCUACAGAUGUGGAAACUGAGGCAUGAAGCCACACUGUGUGCUUCGUGGCACAUUCUUCCUUAAUCCUUCUGGAAGGCAGUGAGGAUUCUCUUGGUUCUAGGUUUAGCAACUAUCCCUGUGAUCUGGGCCAAAUGGCAGAGGCAGGAUUUGUCUUCAGGCUGUUGGAACUGAUGUGCGCUGCCAGCAUGCCUCUGACCUGUGCACACUGGGUUUCAACUCUGCUGCUCAUUGGAACUAGUAGAAGCCCCUCUCUAGGCCAGUGAUCAGUGUCCAGGGCAGGGGCUCCUGAGUGACUCCAGUUACCCAAAGACUGCCUUGGGCCUGACACAGAGUCUCAUUGUACAGUUCAGUCUGGCCUUGAACUCACAAUUCUCUUGCUUCAGCCUCCCAGGUAUGGGAACUGCAAGCUUGAGUCUGUAUGCUCAGUUUUACUUGGGAUGCCAGGGCUGGGCUGGGCUGGGGUUGGGGUGGGCUCAGAUAAGACUGGACUGGGCUGAGUUGGUUUGGGCUGGGCUGGGCUGGGCUGGUGUUGGGGUGGGCUCAGAUGAGACUGGGCUGGACUGGGCUGGUGUUGGGUGGGCUCAGAUGAGUCUGGGUUGGGCUGGACUGGGCUGGUGUUGGUCUGGUCUGGUCUGGUCUGGUCUGGUCUGGUCUGGUCUGGUCUGGAGGGCUCACGAAUGCUGCAUAACUCUGCCAACUGAGCUUCUUCCCUGGCAUAAAGGCCAGCUGGUCUUUGUUGGGUGGCCAAGAAAGCUACCUGUAACCCCAACACUCAAGGGACAGAGGUGGAAGGAUCUUUCAAUUGCAUUUAUCUAUUGUAUAUGCACAUGCAUGCCAUGCUAUGUGGAGGCCAACUUGUUGGCGUUGGUUCUCGCUUCCCACCAUUUGAGUUCAGGAAUGGAACUCAGAUCGUCAGUCUCCGUGGCAAGCACCUUUACCCGUUAAGCCAUCUCACCUGUCCUAAGGCAGAACGAUUUUGAGGUAGAAGCCAGCCAAGGCUACAUAGUAAGUUCUAGGACAGCCUGGACUACACAGUGAGAUACUAUCUUUAAAAAAGAAAAAGAAAAAAAUGAGCUAUGCAGUGGUGGCGCAUGCCUUUAAUCCUAGCACUUGUGAGGCAGAGGCAGGCGGGUCUCUGUGUGUUUGAGGCCAGCCUGGUCUCCAAAGCAGGUUCCAGGACAGCCAGGGCUACACGGAGAAAAGACUCUGUCUCAAAAACAAACAAACAAACAAACAAACAAACAAACAAACAAACAAACAAACAAACAAACAGAACAAAAAGAUGAAAACCAAAAUAACAAAAAAGAUCUUUUCAACAUAUGUUACUCUGGCUUUGAGGCCAGCCUGGUCUGUGAGAGAGGAAAACCUAGGGCCUUGGGCCUUGUGGGCCUCGGGGCAUGCUGGGAGACCUGAGGCAUCCUGGGAAGCCAGUGUGAACUCCUCUUUCCGAUUGCUAUCUCCCUCCCCUGCCUCUUCCUCGCCUUCACCCUCAGCAUAAAUGGCUUCGCCUGGCAAGUGCGGGCCAGGAGAUGUGACUGUAGUCAGGCCCUAUCCUGAGGCACGAGGCCUCAGGAGUGGGGAAGUGCACUUGAGCUGAGGUAAUGAGCCUCUCGUGGGUGUUUAUGGUGGUUAUUAUCUGGAGUCUUGGAGGAAGCUCAAGAGUGCUUGCUCACAGGGAGAAUGGUCUGUUCCAAUUGGGCAAUGUCAGGACCUGAGUAGCUUUCUGGGGGGGCCAGCUGUUGGGAGGGGCUGUCCCUGUGGGCACAGGCUAAGCAGGAGGGAGGAGGUGCCUUGGGCUCAUUUCCUGCCAUGUUUUCCUUGCAUACUCACCCUGAGCCUGAUCCUCUGCUAGGUGGGUUACCUCAUUUGGAGAAUCCUUUCCUGCUUGCCUGCCUGCCCGGGACUUCUGGCUUUAGUCUCUGGACUGAAGAGCUGACCUCUGGAGCAAGGCUUUGCAGGAAUGGCUGGGGAUGUGGCUCAGCUGUGGAAUGUUUGCCUGGCACGUACCAGGCCCUGGGUUCCAUGCCCAGCACUGAGGAAACCAAACAUGGUGCACACCUAUAAUUUCGGCACCGAGAAAGCAGAGGCAGGAGGAUCAGGAAUUUAAAGUCAUCUUUGCUACAUAAUGAGUUUGAGGCUAACCUGGGCUAGACCCUCUCUUACCACCCCCAGACUCUCCCCGCCCCCCCCAAAAAGCAAAAUAAACAAGUAGUCAAAAGCAUU
Molecule: long non-coding RNA, 6413 nt
Organism: Mus musculus (house mouse)
Lineage: Eukaryota; Metazoa; Chordata; Mammalia; Rodentia; Muridae
Product: predicted gene, 54265
Exons: 2
Source: RefSeq, a predicted model, not a curated record